AUUGAACGCUGGCGGCAGGCUUAACACAUGCAAGUCGAACGAGUGGCGGACGGGUGAGUAAUGCCUGGGAAUCUAGCUUCUGGAGGGGGAUAACUACGGGAAACUGUAGCUAAUACCGCGUACCAUAGGAUGAGCCCAAGUGGGAUUAGGUAGUUGGUGAGGUAAAGGCUCACCAAGCCGACGAUCCCUAGCUGGUCUGAGAGGAUGACCAGCCACACUGGGACUGAGACACGGCGCAGACUCAGACGGAAGGCAGCAGUGGGGAAUAUUGCGCAAUGGGGGCGACCUGAAGCAACCAUGACGCGUGAAUGGAGAAGGCCUUCGGAUUGUAAAGUACUUUCGGUAGCGAGGCGUUAACAACAGAGGAGGCACCGGCUAACUCCGUGCCAGCAGCAACGGUAAUAC
Molecule: ribosomal RNA, 405 nt
Filed under: uncultured bacterium
Lineage: Bacteria
Description: partial 16S ribosomal RNA
Rfam family: Bacterial small subunit ribosomal RNA
Source: RNAcentral